This 465-nucleotide ribosomal RNA is filed under the name Vreelandella stevensii. RNAcentral describes it as "partial 16S ribosomal RNA". It matches the Rfam family "Bacterial small subunit ribosomal RNA", at positions 338 to 795 of the family's 1533-position model. Lineage: Bacteria; Pseudomonadati; Pseudomonadota; Gammaproteobacteria; Oceanospirillales; Halomonadaceae. The record is from RNAcentral.
CCUACGGGGGGCAGCAGUGGGGAAUAUUGGACAAUGGGGGGAACCCUGAUCCAGCCAUGCCGCGUGUGUGAAGAAGGCCCUCGGGUUGUAAAGCACUUUCAGUGAGGAAGAACGCCUGGUGGUUAAUACCCAUCAGGAAAGACAUCACUCACAGAAGAAGCACCGGCUAACUCCGUGCCAGCAGCCGCGGUAAUACGGAGGGUGCGAGCGUUAAUCGGAAUUACUGGGCGUAAAGCGCGCGUAGGUGGCUUGAUAAGCCGGUUGUGAAAGCCCCGGGCUCAACCUGGGAACGGCAUCCGGAACUGUCAAGCUAGAGUGCAGGAGAGGAAGGUAGAAUUCCCGGUGUAGCGGUGAAAUGCGUAGAGAUCGGGAGGAAUACCAGUGGCGAAGGCGGCCUUCUGGACUGACACUUACACUGAGGUGCGAAAGCGUGGGUAGCAAACAGGAUUAGAUACCCUUGUAGUC